UACGUAUGGGGCGAGCGUUAUCCGGAUUCAUUGGGCGUAAAGCGCGCGUAGGCGGGCCGUCAAGCGGGGUGUCAAAUCCGGGGGCUCAACCCGCGGCACCACCCCGAACUGGCGGCCUUGAGUGUGGUAGGGGAGCGUGGAAUUCCCAGUGUAGCGGUGGAAUGCGCAGAUAUUGGGAGGAACACCGGUGGCGAAGGCGGCGCUCUGGGCCACCACUGACGCUGAGGCGCGAGAGCUGGGGGAGC
This 245-nucleotide ribosomal RNA is filed under the name uncultured Coriobacteriaceae bacterium. Its description in RNAcentral is "partial 16S ribosomal RNA". It matches the Rfam family "Bacterial small subunit ribosomal RNA", at positions 524 to 769 of the family's 1533-position model. Lineage: Bacteria; Bacillati; Actinomycetota; Coriobacteriia; Coriobacteriales; Coriobacteriaceae. The record is from RNAcentral.